Aegilops tauschii subsp. strangulata is the source of this 1947-nucleotide long non-coding RNA. RefSeq lists it as uncharacterized. The record is from RefSeq and is a predicted model, not a curated record. NCBI's taxonomy places the organism in Eukaryota, Viridiplantae, Streptophyta, Magnoliopsida, Poales, Poaceae.
AGAUCCGGCCCGCCCAGGCCCGAGUGCUGUAGCCGCCCGUAAGCCGCCACCACCAGCGCCCGACCCCGAGCUCCUCCUCCCGUGCGCCUCCUCCCCUGCCUCCCUAGCGCGUCGUCCGGCGACCGGCGCCGUCGUCGGCGACCACCCAGGUCACGCCGCCGCUCCCCUGCCUUCUCUCUUUCCCCUCUCUCUCUCUCUAAUCUCCUUUUAUCUCCUUCUCUCCAGGAGCUCAGCGCCAGGGCCAUGGAUGCCCAGUCCUCGAGCUCGAGGUUCGAACGCCGCCACGUGACCUCCACCGGCCAGAUCCGGCGCCUCCCUCCGGGAUCUGCGCGCCCUCCACCUCCUCUACCCGAUCCGGGGCCGCCCAACCCGCCAUGACCUCCACCAUGGAGCUCCUGUAGCUCGUCCCCUGCCUCCUGUUCCUGUGCUCGAGGGAGACGCGCCUCCAGCGCAGUGAGCACAAGGCCCAGCCGUGCCAAGGCCUACCCCGACCACCUCUGCGUCCAGCCGGCAUACCCUACGUGAUGCUCGACCCGGUGCGCCAGCCGCCAACCGACGCCAGAUCGCAGCACCCUUCACCACCGUUCCACCUCAGCUCCUCCUCUCAUCCGUGCCCCCGAGCUCCUCGCUAUGCGCCGCCCUGGAGGGCACGCGCUCGCCAGCCGGUCGUCGUUGCACUCGCAGGCGACCUCGCCGUCCCCUCUGCACUGCCCUCCACCUCAACUGAUGAUUUAGCUGGUUAUAGCUUGUGGAUGUUCUCUGUUGUUUUUUGCACACAAGGUGUUUGUGUGUUUGUCCGAGCCAAUGUUCAUGAGCUUUAUCUUUGCUAUAAAUGACAUGGCUGAGAAAGUCCCUUCAAUGAAAGGAGGAGUAUAGUCUUGGCCAUGGCUGGGAAGGAAGGAGAACAUGUAAAUUGAGGAUUUUUCAGAGAGAUCGGGACUGCUUGAUUUAUCAGUGGACUGGUGUGCUGGUUGAUUAGGAUCUUUCAGAGAGAUCAUGGUUGCUUGAUUAAUCAGAGAGAAACUGGAUCAGUACUUGGGAGUUGGGACUGGUGUGCUACGGUUGCUUGAUUAAUCAGAGAGAAACUUAUCAUAAUUUAUGAUUUCCUUUUCUUGAUUUGGAGCAAGUGUCUUUGCUGGAGUCAGCGUCCUUGUGGUUGAUCUCAUAUACAUGAGGAUUACCCGAGUCAGCUCCUUGUGGUUGAUCUCAUAUACAUGAGGAUUAUCCAAUUAUUAAAGCACAUACAUUGGAGUUGAAAUAUAGGCGGGUUGUGUACACGGGGUACAUGUACGUGAUGUAAACAAAACCUAUAUAACUCAGGGAAUCGGUACUACAAGAGAGCUUCAAGCUGACGGCCAAUAGAUAUGGAAGACAUGACUUGAUGGAGAAAUCAGGAUUCGAACAGAUGGUAGUUUGCAGACUGAUGAGUUGGUUCCAGUAACAUCACAUGUCAAGGAUACCUCUCUCCACUUAACAAUCAAUUUUUUUUAAUGAUGAUGUUCAGAGAAGUGCGUUUAAUUUCUGUCGCAGUGGGAUGUUGUGAUUAGUUCAGUUUUGCUUGAUCUAUUUCGAGUUAAUUCCUUUUUGUGAUGUGGUGUUAGGGAACAUACAUUCUGCUCUCUUGUUCUUCAGCUUGGGGUGUCGGCAGCUACCUAUUACUACUAGGGAGUCUUAUUUCGGACGGAAAGAAAAUCCAAUAUUGGUUUUUAUCCAUUUGUAUGCCUGCGUUAGCCUUAUGAAGCACAAAGGAUGUCCCAGUGAUCAGUCACGGAUGAUACUUGGUGUAUUCUUACUAGGCUAAUGGGCAAAUACUCGAAUAACUGAAUCACCUGCAAUCUUUCUUUUAUUGUAACGGCGGUGUUAUAUCUGCAACAACAGUUUGUAAUUUUUUAUCUAUAAUUGUGAAUAUACAUCUUGGUAGCUAUAAUUGAUCAAUCACGGAUGAUA